GACAGCUAUCGGAAGGUGGGUUUUACGCCCCAGGCGAACCAGCAACAACUCCCUACUGUCACAUGCAUAUGCAGGAUAAGAUACCAUAUCGAUAAUGUAAAUGCUAGACAGCUGUCGGAAGGUGGGUUUUACGCCCCAGGCGAACCAGCAACAACUCCCUACUGUCACAUGCAUAUGCAGGAUAAGACACCAUACUGAUCAUGUAAAUGCUGGCCAGUAUCCAGAACA
Molecule: long non-coding RNA, 228 nt
Filed under: Phoenix dactylifera (date palm)
Lineage: Eukaryota; Viridiplantae; Streptophyta; Magnoliopsida; Arecales; Arecaceae
Description: long non-coding RNA (PDAC_LNC009458)
Source: RNAcentral